Molecule: non-coding RNA, 87 nt
Organism: Periconia digitata
Lineage: Eukaryota; Fungi; Ascomycota; Dothideomycetes; Pleosporales; Periconiaceae
Source: the annotation of a GenBank genome assembly
GCCCGUUUGGCUUAGGGGUACAGCGUCUCACUCGUAUGUAUUACGCAUGACAUGAGAAGAUCCUCGGUUCGAUUCCGAGAAUGGGCA